UAAAGCUUGGGCCACAUUUUACGGCUGGAAACACGACACAUGCUGCAGAAAUACAGGCUGCCUUACUUAGCUUUCCAUCCUGAAGAUGCGCUGGCUUCCUGUCUCGAGCUCUGUGGGUCGUAAGGACACCCUUCCGCUGGACCCAUCUCUGACAGCGACUUUGCGGCACAAAGAAAUGACAGGAGGAGGAGGAGGAGGAGGAUGAAGAGGAAGAGGAAGGGCAAUCAGAGAGCAAAACAGUGCUCAAGAGGUCAUUCCAGCCCCUUUGCCCGACCCAAAUGGACGCCACCUCCCUUACCCCAAGUUAUGAGCAACUGAAUUGAGACCUGGCCUGCCAAAUUCUCAGCUGGCGGAAGAAGAAAUGAGGAAGAAAUGGCAGUGGUAGUCAGAGCCUGCCCUUUGCUGGAGGCAGCUGGCCUUGUUGGGGGCUCUGCAGCUGUGACUAUGAACUCCUGCCCACCGACGUGGCUUUCUCCACUUGACCACAAGAACGAGUCUCUGCCAAGGACCCGAGCUGGGAAACUGAACUGUUUUGCAGGUUUGGAAGCCCACGCUCCUCUAUU
Fukomys damarensis (Damara mole-rat) is the source of this 563-nucleotide long non-coding RNA. RefSeq lists it as uncharacterized. NCBI's taxonomy places the organism in Eukaryota, Metazoa, Chordata, Mammalia, Rodentia, Bathyergidae. The record is from RefSeq and is a predicted model, not a curated record. The transcript has 3 exons.